Molecule: non-coding RNA, 31 nt
Filed under: Rattus norvegicus (Norway rat)
Lineage: Eukaryota; Metazoa; Chordata; Mammalia; Rodentia; Muridae
Source: RNAcentral
UGAAACUGUAAGCCAACCCCAAUUAAAUGUU